RNAcentral lists this signal recognition particle RNA (302 nucleotides) under Chlorocebus sabaeus (green monkey). Its description in RNAcentral is "Metazoan signal recognition particle RNA (ENSCSAG00000021061.1)". It matches the Rfam family "Metazoan signal recognition particle RNA". From Rfam's summary of the family: The signal recognition particle (SRP) is a universally conserved ribonucleoprotein. It is involved in the co-translational targeting of proteins to membranes. The eukaryotic SRP consists of a 300-nucleotide 7S RNA and six proteins: SRPs 72, 68, 54, 19, 14, and 9. Lineage: Eukaryota; Metazoa; Chordata; Mammalia; Primates; Cercopithecidae. The record is from RNAcentral.
UCUGGGCACAGUGGUGCAUACCUAUAGUACCAGCCACUCAGGAGGCUGAGGCAGGAGGAUCACUUGAGUCACAGGAAUUCUGGGUUUUAGUGCAUUAUGCCAAUUGGGUAUCUGCUUUAACUUCAGCAUUAGUGCAGUGACCCCUCAGAAGCAGGGGACCACCAGGUUACCCAAGGAGGGUGAACCGGCCCGGGUAGCAAAUAGAGCAGAUCAAAUAACUCUCCUAUGCUGAUCAGUAGUGGGAUUGCACCUGUAAAAAGCCACUGCACUGCAGCCUGGACAACAUAGUGAAACCCGUCUCU